Molecule: long non-coding RNA, 3299 nt
Organism: Aquila chrysaetos chrysaetos
Lineage: Eukaryota; Metazoa; Chordata; Aves; Accipitriformes; Accipitridae
Exons: 3
Source: RefSeq, a predicted model, not a curated record
UUUUGGAACUGAGGGUAUUUUCUUAACAGAAAGAAAAGUUCUAAAAAGGGAUAUAUAUAUAUAUAUAUAUAUUUAUUCUGGAAAUGUCCACAAUAAAGAUCAAGCACAUAUGCAAAUAAGUAGCUUUAAUGAACAGCUUCAAACCAGCAUCUAUUUCUAACUGGAUGCAAGAGGCUUAUAUUUAUUUUAACUGGAGAUUUCAGGGAGAGUCUGAAGGUAAAGCUCAUUUUACCUUUCACUCUGCGUAAGCCAACAUUAAUGACACGAUGUAGCUGUCAUUUCAUUCAGUUAUUUAAGAAGAAAUCUUAAGAGUUCACUUUUUAGCUUUUAUGUUCUGUUUUUUUUGUUGUAGGACUGGUGGAUAUGUUCCGUUCUUUUGAAAGCCUGUUCAAGCCUGAGGUCUGUUUUCAACACAUUUUUGUUGCAGGGACACAAUGAGUACCUCUACAAUUUUCUUAUAUUUUGACUUCAGUUAUUCCAAUUUCCUGUAGUACUGGACUUAAAAUCAGAUAAGCUAGACAGAAAGUGUAUUUGAAAAGUGAUUUGGGGUUUUCUCUUCUUACUCCUGAAUCUGUCAGAAGAUGCUUCUAGCAGGCACAAGACAUCCCCCAUGCUUCAGUCACAGGGGUAUUGCCUCUUUUCAAACAACCAGUGUAACACCUUUUUCUCUGCAGGAAGAUCUUCCUUUUUUUUUUUUUUUUUUUCAGCACAAAAGUAGCCAGGUGCAUUAUGCAGAAUGUGAAAUACAGCCACUGAACAAGCAAUAAAUUAACCUUACCAUCAAUGUGAAUUAGCUGGAAUACGAGUUUAAGAGCUGAAUAAGCUGAACGCCACAUUCCUACUCCUCAUAUUGACAAGUGACUAAUUCCAAGGAGAAGAUCACUGCUGGUCCAAAGUGCCACAGAAAAAAGUGUGGGCCAAGAAUAAUCUCCAUAACAGACUUGUGAUACAGCCUUAGUACCAGUUGUCAACCUAUCAGAGUGACCUGUCCGAGGCUCUCCACUGUCAUACUGCCACUGAAAAAUCCUGUCUCAUCAACCAAGGAGGAAAAGGUCUCUCUCUGAAAAGUGAUCUCUACUCUGCUCAGCUGCACCUGAAUGGCUGUGAAUAUAAGAAAUUCCAGAUUCAAACAUAAUCUUAAAAUAUCUGAACUCAGCUGAGAAAUUCAGCACUCACUGAAAUCAUCACAGUGUCAUAUUGUUUUACUAGGGCCAGGAUUCAGUGCAUCUGGCUGUGGUGCACUUACUGUGUUGCAGAGGCUUGCAGCUGGCUAGUUUGAGUCCCAGACUCUGGGCUAGCAGUACUGGAAAUGUUCUCUGUCAUAUCUUAAUGUUGACACUAUGCUGAAUUUUAAUGUCAACAAUCAGCCAAGAGUGCUCUCUAAGCAAAUCUUGCCCACGUUUUCUCCAUGUGCUGAGCCACAAAACCUAGUUAGGUGUUCUGGAGCCUGCUCAGCUAAACUGAAAAGAAGGUAUAAUGGUUUGAUUUGGUUAGUAUGUACAGAAAUGUCAGAAUAGGAGCCUGUAUUCAAGUUGCUCUUCCUGACUGAAGUUGGAUAAACUUUUCUUCAAAUGAGCAUGGAAGAGGUUAUUUGCUUUUUAAGACUAAGCAGCCCAGCUUAAAUACUUGUUGGGAGGCCGUCUUUUAAUUAGGGACCAUAAAGAUCAGGAUGUUCAGAUGCUGAGAUAUCAACGGAUGCAAAUUUUACUUUUAACUGCUUAUGAGGCAUCUACUUGCUCAUGAUCUGUUUGGUACCCACACUUGCAGGCAUCUGUUUGAAUGGCCUAUUCCCCACCUUCAGGUUAGUCAAGUUCAUGCCUUAAGGCAUAGCCACGAAGGAAACAUGGCUUAUCUGUACAGUUUGUGUAACGCUGCAGGAAACUCAUCUCCAGAAAUAACAUUUGUAGUGAUGUUACCUCCAGUUCCAACAUGCUUUCUUGUAUUCGAGUACAUCUCUUGACACUUAAAGUAAUAAAUCUACAGCUAAAACAUGCCCAUACAGAAGUUAUGUCAAAAGUGUUUGCUAUAAUUGGAAACCCUCUUGGAAAAUGAUGUGGAUCACUGGAGGUAUUAAAGCAUGUGUUAGAAGGUGAGUCUGUCUAUAGGCAACCAACAGUACAUGGAAAAGUAGCUCCCCAGCCAGGCAAAACAGCAGAACUGCCUUCAGUGGACGUUGACUGCUCUAUCUUUUAAAAGAUGUGCAUGUAUUUAAUAGACACUAUAUGAGAAUGCCACUGAAAAUACCAAGAAUGAAGCAGAAAGACCUCAAAGAGGAGAUCUGUAUCAAAAUAAAAUGAAACUUGUAAGUCAUUAACUUUGCUUGUUGUAGUUAUGCUGAAAGAUGUUGAACAGGGAAGGGAAAGACAUAUUUGCCACCUUACCCAGAGGCACGCUUAUAUUGACAUUUUUUGGCAUGGUUGUUGUGCAUUGAAAGUGAAUUAAAUCCUGACUUUUACUAGCAUAAAAGGACUGCUAAAGCCAUUAGCUCUGACAACAGAAUGAGAGAAAGUCAACUUUAAAACUGCUCAGAGUUCAAUAGAAGUCUGCUCCAGGCAUCUUUACCUGCCCCACCUAGUCAAAACCUAAGACUUCAAAAUCUUUCAAGUACAUGGAAUUUUACCAAAAUGUCUGUUUUUCAGCACUUAAACCUGCCACUUCAGGGCUAAGACACUGCCUUGGAGACCUGGUUCAAAUCUCUGCUCUGCCUACUUUGCUUUGGGACUGAGAUUUUUUCCCUUCCUUCUCUUUCUCUUCCCUUUCCCUUUCUUUCCCUUCCCUUUCCCCUGAGAAAUCAGCAAGACCAUGUUCAGAGUUGCAGACAUGGAAAGGUUGCACAUUUUGUGACCACCUUGCUCACUCAAGUUCAAGAGGGAUAGUCUUCAGCACGGGCUCAGGAUGUUGAUAAGCCCUACUGUGCCUGUGCCUACCUGUAUACACACAGAUGUGCUAAGUCACAUAAAACCUGAAAUUCUGAUGGGUACUACACAAUUUUCUUUUGUUCUGCUCAGGUUUUUUUCCUAAGACUAGCGUAUUUCCAGCUGUGGACAGGUCACAUAUCUUACUAGAUGUGGUGACUUUUAAAAAUCUUAUUAAUUUGGUAUGACCUUUUUUGCCUUUGGUAUUAAUUUUACUACCUGCAUGACAAUUAAAUUAAAUUUAUUUUAUUUCUUAAUAUGAUUUCCUCUGUAAUGAUGUAUUUACUCUCUUUACAGUGGGGACAAGACUGUUACCUCUUUCAUAAUUAAGUUCAAGUAGUGCUAUCAAAGCUACAUUAUAAAGUCCUAAUUAACUAUUAAGAA